Quercus lobata is the source of this 3986-nucleotide RNA transcript. It is a transcript of the gene named exocyst complex component EXO84B-like, with no coding region annotated. The transcript has 8 exons. The record is from RefSeq and is a predicted model, not a curated record. NCBI's taxonomy places the organism in Eukaryota, Viridiplantae, Streptophyta, Magnoliopsida, Fagales, Fagaceae.
CUGAAAGAGAAAGACAGGGAGCAUUGUUCUCAUAAAUUGAUUUGGGGCAACGAAGUAACCAAAGCUUUUAGCUCUCAUAAAACGACGACGGAGACAUCCAAAAAACACUACCUAAUAAUAUUAACUCACUCUCACUUCUUCUUCUUCUUCAUCGCUUGGAAUUGGAAUUCUGCUUUCCUGUUUGUUUCUCGGGAAUCCAUUUUCCAUGGAAUCUCCUUCCACCUAGACCAGAAGAUUCCGAUUCCGAGACAUGGAAAACCAAACGCAGUCUCACACCAGCCCCGACUUCUCCUCCGUCUCCACCGACCGUGGCGACGACGACGACGAUGACGACUCCGAACUCCAAUCCAUAACUGGAAAGGGCAUUAUGCAUCUUUGUUCGGAGCUAAUCGAACUAAAGGCGGCCUCGAAUGAAGAGUUUCAAAGAAACAUCAUUUCUAAUUAUUCAGCCUUUGUUAGAGUAUUCGAAGAAGUAGAAGGUGUUGAGAAUGAACUUGUGGAACUGAAAAACCAUGUCUUGACCCAAAAAAAGCUCGUGAAGGAACUAGUAGAUGGCAUCUAUCUAGAAUUUUUAUCGGAAGAUACAAUAGAAUCGAUUAUAGAAGAACCUGCUUGCAUUGAUUCACCUCAGCCAAGUGAGUUAGAUGCUCUCAUUAAUGAUGUUUCAGAAACCCUGGAUCUUCUCCUAUCAGAAAACAAGAUAGAUGAAGCUCUGGACAUUAUGGACUUGGAGGAUGAAAAUUUUCAGAGGCUGAAGUUCGAAGGAAAUACUCCAUCAGAUGUUUUAAUGUAAUAUAACUCUGCAAUUUGUGAGAGGAAGGCCAUGCUUACACACCAGUUGACGCUGGUGGCUGAAAACCCAAGAAUAGCUGCACCAGAACUUCAAAUGGCACUAGAUGGACUUUGCAGACUUGGAGACAGUCAUCUUGCAACUCAAUUAUUGCUUGAAUAUUACCAUUUACGUAUUGCAACUGGAGUACAUGAUUUGUGGUGUUCAAAAACGUAUUUAUAUGGGAUUUACAUUAGGGAGCUUGCAAAAUUUGUGUUUUCUAUGAUUUCUCAAGCCUCAAGGAGCUUCAUAAUGUUACAUGGGGAAGCUUUUCCUUAUGCUUCAGAACUUAUUCAGCGGGCCUGCGAAGAAACCAAAGUAUUUGCUGUUUGCUUUAAUAAAUAUGUUAAGUCCAUUUCAGAAAUAAAUGGAAGAUUAUCCACAGUGGUAGAAGCUGUGCAGUUUGCAAUGUUGUUUUGCUCUUUGUUAGAAACUCAGAAAUUAGAGUUGUGGCCUCAACUGAUCAAGAAUAUUUGUCCUUGUGUGGAAGAGGUUCUACAAAUACAUAUAGAUAUCUUGUAUCAGGAAUAGUAAAUGAAGGAUGCUCUUCUAUGGCUGUUGGGCAACAACCAGAAUAUUGCUUGCUCACUAGCAGCGGCCAUAAGUUUGUAACACUCUUACAGGCUAUCAUAGAGGAUGCUUCACCUCUGGUUGCCCUUCAAAUGGAAGGUUCAAUCCUCAGUGGACUCGUGAACCUUUUUGUGGAAUAUACUAUCAUCCUUGAAAGAGCCAUCACCUGUGAAAAAAUUGCUGCUGAAAAAAAUGGUUCAAGAAUCAAUUUGGCAGAGUCACUGCCCCAACAGGUCUCUAUUCUAGCGAAUCUAUCAACACUAGAGUUCUUCUCUAUCAUCAUUGAAAAUAUAUUUGGGAGCAUUAGUCAUAUCAAUUCUGACCCAGUGAGAAGCCAUUUAGUUGGUGGUCAACUGGAGGAACUUGAUAGUUGUAUAUUGUUUAUUCAAGAGGCUUCCAGUCAGCUCAGAGACUGUUUCUGCCAGAAAUUUAUACAUAGAAUAAUGUUGCUGGAAACUGGCUCCACAAAUACACCAGAAACUUGCAUUGAUGAUCAACAUGAUCUGAUGCCCCCUGUUGCCUUUCACGUACUAUUCUUAGAACUGAGGAAAUUAGAAAAACUUGCUGACGAUGGUGUUAUUGAAGUUGAUUGGUUGAUGGAACUUUUGAAGGAACUAAUAGAGGCCAUAUAUGUUUGGAUAUCCAACAAUAAAGCAAUCUGGGCAACUAGUGAAGAGAAUUUUUCUGCCCAACAUUCUGACAAUUUCAAGAGGUUUUCUGCAUACUCGACUUACUUGACUUCCAUUGCCCUCUUUUAUCUGCUGAUCUGCUUCACCUUCUUGCUUGGAUGCUUUGCAAGUUUUGAGCACUUAAACUCACAAAUGGCACUUCCUCCUCCCACAAGAAUGGGUGGACAUCGAGAACAGUUUGUUUUGGACAUGUAUUUUCUGGAGGAAAUCGCAAUGCGUGGAGGAUAUUUCUCCAACAAUACCUUGGUUCUUGUAACUUGUAUGAGAUCAGCCUUUGCCUCAGCUGGACUGAAUCCUGAUAGGGACUCGGGGGAUGAUGAAAGUAGUAAAUCAGAAGUUUCUGUUAAAGCAGAAAAAAUGAUAUUGAAUACAGAAUAUAGCCCUUUUGGAGGGUUCUUGGAUCUUCGUGAAGAGGAGGAUGGUUCUUUUUACGGGAGUGCUAUAAAUUCAACAGACAGUUUUGUAGAAAUUGAAGAUAAUGUCUCCAGAAAACUGGCUAAUGCAGUAUAUGACGGACCCCAGAUCAUUGAGAAAACUGAUUUACCAGCCACAUUAUCUUUGGAUAUUGAUGGAAAAUAUUAUAAGGCAAGGACCUUCAUUGAGGAGGAGAGUAGUCAUCGAGUUAAUGUGGCUGAGUCUGUAAGUAACAGGCUAGAAGAUGGUGGACGCUUGGGUGUUUCAGGGACUGUGGUUGCUACUGCAGAAGACUGAUGAAUAUGAAAAAGAGGGCAUAAAUCAGACUGAUUCUGUUCUUACAAAUGAUUGCGACAAUGUUCAUAUUAAUGCAGUCAAUACUCUCUUCAAGCAUAAGGAAAUUAACGUAAGAGAAAUUGAAUGCAUGAAUUGGGAAACUGAAGGGCAUGUUGGGAUGGAUGAUGGUAAUGUCAAGCAACAAGUAGAGCAAUUCUGAUAAAUUCAGCAUAGACGUUGGGUUGAUAAGGACUCCAGCUGAAGUUCUUAAUGUUCCAUGAUUUAGGAGGGACAGGUGAGAUGAUUUGUUGGUGGUAAGGCAGUUGAGAAGAUUUUGGAUUUAAAAAUCUACCUUUUAGAAAUGUGAGUUAAAAAAAGGGUGGUGCAGCAAGUUGCCGGAUUUUCUUGCCUCAAAUAUGUUGCAUAAAUGAGAUUGGUGAAACUCGAAAUUAAAGUUGCUUUCCUGUAAAGUAAUUUAUUUGGUGAGCGAGACUUGACUAGUUAGGUUUUGCGGACUAGUUUUUAUCAAACCUAACAAACAUUUCAGAAUCUUCAUUAUCUGAUAUGAAUUUUGAAAUUGCGCCAUCUGCAUAUAGCAAAUGCACUUUCCUAAAAAAAAACAUACAUACUUCUUUUCUUUUAUUGGCUAAAUUACUAUUUCAUUUCCUAAACCAUGUUAGUUUCUAAAAUUUUGAAACUAGUUCAAUCUUACCCUUAUAUCCAUUUGCUAAGGAAGAAGAAGAUUGAGAUGAUUUUGAGGAAGAAAAAAAGGUAUAUCUGAAGAGACGAACGCUAAAACACAACUCUUUAUAACACAAAGGAAUAUAAAUGCAGUUAAACAUCUGAGCCAAAAAUUAAUUUACGAAAGAAAUCCAUAAUAAUAAAAACCUCUAAAUUUUCAAUCUUCAUACAAUUUCAUCAAUGGUUGAAAAAUUUGAGAGAUGGGGAUGUUAAACUGCAAUUUAAAGGCUUGAUUCCUUCUAGAUUUGUUUUCAUAGAACAGCUGACCAUCUCUAUUCUCUGAUGACAGAAAAAGAUCCCAAGUUUGUCAGCACUACAGUGGGAGAGAAAAGUGAGAGAGAGCACAGGGACUCUUUGUGGCUCUAGACACAGAAUGUGAGAACUGACCAAAAUACAAGAUCCCUUUGCAUCAAAGCAUGAGUAUGAAGCAGUAAAUUUUGAAUCAGUAAGCAGAGUAGGUAGUGCCU